UCACUGGACGGCUGAUUUGCUUUCCAGAGAUGAAAGCCUAAAUCAGUUAAUCUAUUUUCCUUUAUCUCAUGCAAGUCUUGGUUCUUACAUUGAUGGCAAAGAAAAGAAGAUACAAAGGAAAAGGAGUGAGAGAGGUGAAAAAUUAGAGAAUGUUUGAAUCCUCAGGUCUGUUCAGGCAAUGUGGAAAGAGAAAAGGUGAUCAAAGGGAAACACCAUGUUCAAGAUGAUGUUUAAGAUAGCUGAGAUGCUUCCAUUUCUUCUUCUACCCUUGCUUCUGGAUCUGAAGAAUUGUGUGACCUAAUUUGAACCUAAUCCUGUCUACGGAAUCCCUUGGCUAAUAAUUAGGGAUGGUUUGAAUUCAAUUGGGCUAUCGAGUCAACUAAAUGCAGAAGUUAGAACCCAUUAUUUUGAAAGAUACUGCCAUUUAUAACUUCUAGCCACAGAAUUCUACAACAGGUUUUGUUCAUUAGCGUAAUUAUCCAAGGUGAUUCAAAGUCAUUUCCACUAUAGUCAUUCCUGAGCCAUCUUGAGAGGGCGAUCACUGCGGCAGAGGAAUCCAAAGAAACUGACCCUUACCUUGAAGUGAAAACCUGAGGAUGCGAAUCCACGUCUCUGGGGUCGAAAAGGUCACAAACAGAAAACCUGCUGCACUUCUGAGUCUUCACAGAUUUCAGUGAUUUGGUCCAAAUCCAGAAACCAUCUUGAGACAAUAAAAAGGCUGCUGAAUGGGAACCAAGCAGGACGGCUCAACUCUCACCGAGGUACCAGAGGCGUUUAAUUUUCAUGGUCUUACAAUAAAUUUAAAGGCAAAUUAUAAAAGUAAGGCUCAGUUUUGGUAAGGCUCCAAUUUAUGUGCUUCGGGCUUCUUCUAACUAGACUGUGGGGGCAGCGGGCUAAGCAAGUUUAGAUUUAAAGACUUUUGCCAAAGUGUCCCGCAUGGAAAUUUCCUGCAUUUUGUGGUGUUUCCAAAGGCAUCUCCUGGUACCCUCCUAGGCCUCAUCUCAUCCACGGGUCUGGAAAGUGGGCCGUGACAGCUGGAAGGUGAUGUUUUAAAGGGCCAGUGCUAAAGUUAGGGACCAAAUCACAUUGUCUAAUGCAUUUGGGAAAUCAGUAUCUGUUUUGGUGUUAAAAUUUAAUUAUCAUUUUAGUUUUUGCCUCUCAAGGGAAACUGAGGCCUGCAAGGGAGCUGCUAUGCAUAGUGAUUAGGAUCUCGGAGCCUCGGUUUCUUCAUGUGCAACACGUGGAUGUCAAUCACUACCUCAUGGUGAUGUUAGAUGGAAUAAAUUCAACAAUGAUUGCAAAGCCCUCAGCAAAGUUGCUGGCAUAUAUUGAGGGCUAACACAGCAAUCAUUAACAGGAGAAAAGUCGUCUGUUACAGGAUGAACAAAAUCUUCUGUAAAGCAUGAGAUUGAGAAAUAGAAUAAUCUGUGGGUUGACUUGGACAGUAGUGGACUCUGGUGUCCUGACUGAAUGACUGAAUGAGGUGGCCUUUGAAAGGAGAGAAAAUGGACGUCUUGUCUUCUCUGAGCUUCUGCCAACACUGAAAAGGCUGAGGAACGGUUUCAUGGUGUAUCAGGGUUCCGUUUUUAAAACUGGUUGCACACAUCCCUCAUUUGAGGGUCCUGUUGGGUAGUUUAGGAGAGAAAAUGAAUGUCUAUGUUCUUGAAGGCCAAUUUGGGAGUGCAAAUGUUGGAUUUGGGAUCUCAUUGGAAAGUCUGUGUUAUUUAAAUUUCUAAAGCGAGCCCUCUCAUGUGACCUCAAGCUAAUGCGUGGGUCUGCUGGAAUAACAGCUUUGAGUAAUUUCUUCCAGCAGUGCCUACUAAGUAACCCGGGAUAAAAGUAUUGUUUUCCCAUGAAUGGUGGAAUUGUCAGGAAGGUAACAAAUUGCCCCAGACUUUUGUUGGUGCAACGGAAUUCAAGCUUCUUUCAAUUUUUUUGGACUUCCAAAAAAAAAUCUUUGAGAGACUACUGUGUGGCAAUACUGCGUGCUGGCCAGAGAGUCUAUAGAUGACAACACAGUGUCCCAGAAUCUUGCCUUAUUUUUCUUUUCCCUCCACCCCCACCCGCCAUCUCUCACCAGACAGAAUAGGUGAAGAGGUUGAGUUGUAGAUCUCAUUUCUCCUGUUUUGCUGCUUGUGAAGUCUGCCAACAGAAUCCACCUUGACAAAGUCAAGGACUGUGCGUUUAAUGUUGAACUGAGUGAAUAAAUUAUGCAUGAAAUUGUGCCGGAGUCUCUAGUGUGCAGAAUUGCUCCUUUUGAUAUGAAAGGUUAAUUCAGAAAGGAGUCCAAAAUAGCUGGAAAUUGUGGGGAUAAGUGGAUAGUAUUCACUGUUGUGAGCUGUUAUUACUAGAAAUUGCAUUCCCUCUCUGGCUUCCCCGGAGAUUUCUCUUUGCCAGUGAAUAUAAACUGUACUCAAUAGAAUAGCAUUUAGGAGUAACAAGAGUGUAUGUCCACACACAAUAAAAUAUUCUAAUGGCGUUUUAAAAAGAAGUUGUACUUUUUCAGGUAUAUCAUGUACCCCAAGGAAGAAUUUCUACUGCAUUUAGGUCAAGAACAAGGCAUAGCAAACAUAAUGAGUUUUGGACAUAUAUGUAUUGUAAGGGGCUGCCUGGGACUCCUGUUUCUGAGCCUGGGCUGGUCAUGCCACUGAUUAGUCAUGCAAGCCUGGUUUCUGAUAAAGCCCAAACCAUCCUUGCUUAAAGAAGGAACCACCCCAAAUUGUUUUUAUCACUACAGCUUACACAUCCAGCUUUAAUUUAAUCUUUGGUAAAUUUAUGAAGUUCUUCAACCUAUUUCACUUAAAUGUCCUUUUUACACACAUCCUUAUAUCAUUUUUAUGUUAGUUCAUUAUUUCCAGCAGAAAAACGUAGCUGUCUGGAAAGCUAAAUUUGACUGAAAAUACACAUACACAUAUUUUUGGAGCUUGUUAGAGACUCUUUUUUGUGUUUCCAUCACAAGGGAACGGAAUUGAGCCACCAGACUGUGGAAGUUGUUUAUUUUUGUCGCUCUUAUGUACAUUUUCAGAAACCAUCUACUUCUUAAUCUACACCAGGGACUAGUAGUUUUUUUCUCUAAUUAUAAAGUGGUCUCAUUUCUGACCUGGCGUAGUUUUUAAUUUUAAUUCCUGGCUUGUGUUUAUAAACUGUUAGACUACAUUAUCCUGUUGGGAACGUUGAGAGAAAGGCUUCAGUCUUUUGUGUUGGUUUUAACAAUUAGAUAUUCAUUCAGUGUCUUAAAAUGUAUUUCGGAGCAACCAAAGAUGCACUUUUGAUGUCGUUUUUUUUCCUUCUGUGUUUCACUUAUGUAUCUAUUUCACAUUAGUGAUAAAGCUUGUAAAACUCUGGAUGGGUGACGGUGAAUAGUUGUAGUAGUAUUAUAAAACCUAACAGGAGUCAACAAAAUUGAUACAAUUACUUUUUUUAAUGUAUUUUUUUGUUUCAAAUGUUUAUGUGGAAAAAGAUAUAGAAAUCUUGGCGUAGGGAAGAUAUUCCUACAAAUUUUGGCAGA
Molecule: long non-coding RNA, 3508 nt
Organism: Equus caballus (horse)
Lineage: Eukaryota; Metazoa; Chordata; Mammalia; Perissodactyla; Equidae
Source: RefSeq, a predicted model, not a curated record